GGGGGUGCAUUGGUUUCGAUGGGAGACCUGAGGCGACGGAUGCAUACCGGGAAGUCUGUAACCCGUAAACUGCAGGCAAAACCACAAUUGCGAAUACAGAACUCGCAAUGGCAGCUUAAUUAAAACCUAAGCUACCCGUUCGCUCCGGCAUCGCCUGUGUGCCGGAAUCCGAGCGCCGACUUUGCAGGCUAGCGAUUCAGCGCAGGUCAGAACUGAAAAGCGAAAUAAAUCUGGCAUAGUUUGUACCCAGUUCUUCGUCGCUUCUGCAGCUUUCGGGUUGCUUCGCUACUGGGCGCGAGCGAAACAAAUGAGCGAAGCGGCUAAGUAUGUAGAUUCCUUCGAAGACGGCUGCCAGACGUCGGUUCGAUCCCGACCACCUCCAUCA
This 385-nucleotide transfer-messenger RNA is filed under the name Blastocatellia. RNAcentral describes it as "RBC074 sp017991275 Standard tmRNA". It matches the Rfam family "transfer-messenger RNA". From Rfam's summary of the family: Bacterial tmRNA, also known as 10Sa RNA or SsrA, is named for its dual tRNA and mRNA-like properties. Its role is to liberate the mRNA from a stalled ribosome. To accomplish this part of the tmRNA is used as a reading frame that ends in a translation stop signal. Lineage: Bacteria; Pseudomonadati; Acidobacteriota. The record is from RNAcentral. RNAcentral also lists the same sequence under 1 other name.